Molecule: small nuclear RNA, 139 nt
Organism: Callithrix jacchus (white-tufted-ear marmoset)
Lineage: Eukaryota; Metazoa; Chordata; Mammalia; Primates; Cebidae
Gene: U4
Rfam family: U4 spliceosomal RNA
About the family: U4 small nuclear RNA (U4 snRNA) is a component of the major U2-dependent spliceosome. The structure of U4 snRNA from yeast and human has been reported.
Source: Ensembl
AGCUUUGCGCAGUGGCAGUAUCGUAGCCAAUGAGGACUAUCCGAGGCUCGAUUAUUGCUAAUUGAAAACUUCCCAAUACCCUGCCGUGACGAUUUCCAAUACAGUCGGCACUGGCAAUUUUUGACAGUCUCUACGGAGA